AGUUUAAAGAUGCGUUACAUCAAAUUACAUUCAAAUUUAUAUAUUGGAGUUUAUGUAUAGCAGACGGACCUCGCCCCCGAAGGGACUACUAUCCGUCUCACAAGUUCACAGGUGUGUGUGGAUGAAUAGAGGAGGCGUGCACAUGCCCCAACGAAGGGGCCAGCGACAACCAACUCUAGUUUCAUUCGAUAAUGAUCCUUCCGCAGGUUCACCUACGGAAA
Molecule: unclassified non-coding RNA, 221 nt
Filed under: uncultured fungus
Lineage: Eukaryota; Fungi
Description: sequence contains ITS1
Source: RNAcentral